AGCAGCCGCGGUAAUUCCAGCUCCAAUAGCGUAUAUUAAAGUUGUUGCAGUUAAAAAGCUCGUAGUUGAAUUUCAGGCCUGGCUGGGCGGUCCGCCUUUUGGGUGAGUACUGCCUGUGGUCGGGUCCUACCUUCUGGCGAAGCGUCAUGGCCUUAACCGGCCGUGGCGGGGAACCAGGACUUUUACUGUGAAAAAUUAGAGUGUUCAAAGCAGGCAUUCGCUUGGAUACAUUAGCAUGGAAUAAUGGAAUAGGACAGUGGUUCUAUUUGUUGGUUUCUAGGACCGUUGUAAUGAUUAAUAGGGAUAGUUGGGGGCAUUAGUAUUCAAUUGUCAGAGGUGAAAUUCUUGGAUUUAUUGAAGACUAACUACUGCGAAAGCAUUUGCCAAGGAUGUUUUCAUUAAUCAAGAACGAAAGUUAGGGGAUCGAAGACGAUCAGAUACCGUCGUAGUCUUAACCAUAAACUAUGCCGACUAGGAAUCGGGCGAUGUUGACAAAAUGACGCGCUCGGCACCUCAUAC
Molecule: ribosomal RNA, 519 nt
Filed under: uncultured Paraglomus
Lineage: Eukaryota; Fungi; Glomeromycota; Glomeromycetes; Paraglomerales; Paraglomeraceae
Description: SSU rRNA
Rfam family: Eukaryotic small subunit ribosomal RNA
Source: RNAcentral